Long non-coding RNA from Nanorana parkeri, 91 nucleotides. RefSeq lists it as uncharacterized. The record is from RefSeq and is a predicted model, not a curated record. Lineage: Eukaryota; Metazoa; Chordata; Amphibia; Anura; Dicroglossidae. The transcript is spliced from 3 exons.
UUUCAAAUCAUGGCGGGGAGCAACAAAGUCAUGCUCCAGCCACAACAAGUGUUUCUUCUUCAUGUACUGUAGUGUGCCGGAAAGGUUUCAG